GGGGAAGUACUCAAGUGGCUUAAGAGGUGCCCCUGCUAAGGGUAUAGACCGGGUGACCGGUGCGAGGGUUCAAAUCCCUCCUUCUCCGCCA
This 91-nucleotide transfer RNA is filed under the name Mycoplasmatota bacterium. RNAcentral's name for it is "Tenericutes bacterium tRNA-Ser". It matches the Rfam family "tRNA". Rfam says of the family: Transfer RNA (tRNA) molecules are approximately 80 nucleotides in length. Their secondary structure includes four short double-helical elements and three loops (D, anti-codon, and T loops). Lineage: Bacteria; Bacillati; Mycoplasmatota. The record is from RNAcentral.